Molecule: transfer RNA, 92 nt
Filed under: Natranaerobius thermophilus JW/NM-WN-LF
Lineage: Bacteria; Bacillati; Bacillota; Clostridia; Natranaerobiales; Natranaerobiaceae
Description: Selenocysteine transfer RNA
Rfam family: Selenocysteine transfer RNA
Source: Rfam by way of RNAcentral
GGGAGUAGUUGGAUCUCUGGUGAGGCCCGCGGACUUCAAAUCCGUUGGGAGGCGAGUUCCGUCUCCGGUGGGUUCGAUUCCCACAUACUCCC